AUUGGUCAAUAUUUUUGGCAGUUUUUUGAACAUGCUGUCUAAUAGUUCUUGCUAUGCAUGUAUGGUUUUACGAAUAUUCAGCAUGAUCAGAUAUCUUUGUGCUUAUGUUGAUGUAGCUCCUGACUUCUCAUUCUUAGUCCUUGAAUUGCAAUUUUAUCAAUUUUCUUGUUAUUGUGCAUAUUUCAAUAUUAUGCUUUAAAGCAAAUGACAUAUCAGUCUGAACUCCAAGGUACUGGCAACUCAGCACAUUUUUGAGAAAAUUAGUUAUUGCAGUUCAAAUUUUAAGGUUUCUCAAGACAGGUGAUGUUUGAUGAUUUUCUUGAUAAAGUAGGAUAUUUUGAAUUUCACAUUUUGGAUAAAUCAUAAAAAUACUAGUGCAUGUAUCUGGUCUAUUUUGUUUCAGGUGAUGAGAGGUAUUAGUUGUCCAAGCAAGAUGGAAACUAGAUAAUAUAGUCCAGGUCAUCCAAAUUAAUAAUUUCUUUAACUUUAUUACUAAAUUGUGAGCUUAAACCCUAUCCCAACCCCACUUUACGU
Molecule: unclassified non-coding RNA, 534 nt
Filed under: Hevea brasiliensis (rubber tree)
Lineage: Eukaryota; Viridiplantae; Streptophyta; Magnoliopsida; Malpighiales; Euphorbiaceae
Source: RNAcentral